Molecule: long non-coding RNA, 1856 nt
Filed under: Triticum aestivum (bread wheat)
Lineage: Eukaryota; Viridiplantae; Streptophyta; Magnoliopsida; Poales; Poaceae
Description: long non-coding RNA (TAES_LNC014184)
Source: RNAcentral
GUUUUUAUUUUCUAUUUUCUCCAUGUUACAAUCUUGCGUAGCCCUAAUGCAUAUAUAUAUGCAUAAGCGCCACCGACCCAACUACAACAAUUCUACACGGACUCUUUAACUCUCGUACAGAAAUACUACUAGGACACGCACAUGAACCAAGUCCUAACCGGACUCUCCUAAUCUAAUUACACGGCCACGCUGAUCACCCUAUUAGACUUACUACUAAACCUAACAGCACACGAUGACAAGAAUCCUAACACAACUAGACUCCAACGUGUUUCCAAAACUCAAGAUUAUUUCUAACAUUUUCUCCCUAAUCUUGACACUUUGUCUUCAGUGCUUCUCUGGUCUUGGCUUGUUGAUGAUUCACCCUUUAUCGACUCAUCCGGUCGCACCACGACAAUCAAAUUAUUGACUUGGUUGCUUGCAACAAUCUCUCCUUUAAUUUUGACUUGGCGAAUUUACGGACCAUCUCAAAUAUGUCUUGGACUACCCAGCCUCGUUAGUAAUCUGUGGAAAACCCCACCUGGUGAACUUGAACAUCUACCCUAGCGAGAUACAUGCCGACUCCUCGUGGAUCACACCACUCUGUGGACUACACCUCCCACUCCAGCCUCAUGUAGGGACAUGGCCUCAUUGAAGAGACUCACCUUCACUGGUUUACCGCCCCCACAUAGUUGAACUUGCUCUUCUCGUUGAGACACAUAGACGAUCUAGAUGCGCUUCAUCUUCAACGCCUCCUCACAUAGACGAGCACUUGGACAUGACGACGACUGACACGACAACGACCAACUGACCGACCGACCGUGCUAACCCGCACAACUCCUUGACUCCAACUCCCGAAUGACGAUCUUGACGACUUUCCGGCACCGCAUCACCGCACCACUGUUCCCGUCAACAAUCUCCAUCUGCCACCUUGCCGACGACAGCCCGUCGUCUCCCUCCUUGUUGCUCCAUCGAAUGACGAUCGCAUAAUCCUCCUCGUUGCUGUAGCACUUAGAGAGAAUAUCGCCCGCUCUUCCUCGUCGCUACACAACCCAGCGACCAUAUCGCCCGCCCUGAGGCGCUAAUCGGGUCGCAACCCCGGGGCAAGCGAAGCUUCAAAUCAACCUUGCUCUGAUACCAAUUGUUGGAAUUCCGCCCACACGAUCGAUCACAUCACAGUACGACAAACAUGCACACAAAAAACUUUUAUAGCCAAAGACUCUUGUUAUGCCCUUUGUUUCUCCUCUUUUUAUUUUCUAUUUUCUCCACGUUACAAUCUUGCGUAGCCCUAAUGCAUAUAUAUAUGCAUAAGCGCCAGCGACCCAACUACACCAAAUUCUACACGGACUCUUUGACUCUCGUACAGAAAUACUACUAGGACACGCACAAGAACCAAGUCCUAACCGGACUCUCCUAAUCUAAUUACACGGCCACGCUGAUCACCCUAUUAGACUUACUACUAAAACUAACAGCACACAAUGACAAGAAUCCUAGCAGAACUAGACUCCAACGUGUUUACAAAACUCAAGAUUAUUUCUAACAUUUUCUCCCUAAUCUUGACACUUUGUCUUCAGUGCUUCUCCGGUCUUGGCUUGUUGAUGAUUCACCCUUUGUCGACUUAUCCGCUCGCACCACAACAAGUCAAAUUAUUGGCUUGUUUGCUUGCAAUAAUCUCCCCUUCAAUUUUGACUUGGUGAAUUUACGGACCAUCUCAAAUAUGUCUUGGACUACCCAGCCUCGCCAGUAACCUGUGGAAAACCCCACCCGGUGAACUUGACCAUCUACCCUAGCGAGAUACAUGCCGACUCCUCGUGGAGCACACCACUCUGUGGACCACACCUCCCACUCCAGCCUCAUGUAGGGACAUGGCCUCAUUGAAG